RNAcentral lists this ribosomal RNA (464 nucleotides) under uncultured bacterium. RNAcentral's name for it is "bacterial SSU rRNA". It matches the Rfam family "Bacterial small subunit ribosomal RNA", at positions 330 to 792 of the family's 1533-position model. The record is from RNAcentral.
UCCAGACUCCUACGGGAGGCAGCAGUGAGGAAUAUUGGUCAAUGGGCGAGAGCCUGAACCAGCCAAGUCGCGUGAGGGAGUACUGCCCUAUGGGUUGUAAACCUCUUUUGUCAGGGAACAAAGGCGGGGACGUGUCCCCGGAUGAGUGUACCUGAAGAAAAAGCAUCGGCUAACUCCGUGCCAGCAGCCGCGGUAAUACGGAGGAUGCGAGCGUUAUCCGGAUUUAUUGGGUUUAAAGGGUGCGUAGGCGGGACCUUAAGUCAGCGGUAAAAUUGCGGUGCUCAACGCCGUAGAGCCGUUGAAACUGGGGUUCUUGAGUGAGCGAGAAGUAUGCGGAAUGCGUGGUGUAGCGGUGAAAUGCAUAGAUAUCACGCAGAACCCCGAUUGCGAAGGCAGCAUACCGGCGCUCAACUGACGCUGAGGCACGAAAGUGCGGGUAUCGAACAGGAUUAGAUACCCGUGUA